GACGAACGCUGGCGGCGUGCCUAAUACAUGCAAGUCGAGCGAAGUUUUUCUGGUGCUUGCACUAGAAAAACUUAGCGGCGAACGGGUGAGUAACACGUAAAGAACCUGCCUCAUAGACUGGGACAACUACUGGAAACGAUAGCUAAUACCGGAUAACAGUAUUUCUCGCAUGAGAGAUAUUUAAAAGUUGGUUAUGCUAACACUAUGAGAUGGCUUUGCGGUGCAUUAGCUAGUUGGUGGGGUAAAGGCCCACCAAGGCGACGAUGCAUAGCCGACCUGAGAGGGUGUUCGGCCACCCGGGAACUGAGACACGCCCAAGACUCUUAGGGGAGGAAGCAGUGGGGAAUCUCCCGCAAGGGGCGAAAGCUGAAGGGAGAAACGCCGGGUGGUUAAAAAAGGUUUUCGGUUGGUAAAGCCUGUUUGUAAGGAAAAAAUGAAUAGGUAGUAACAAUCCUGGUAGAGACGGUACCUAACCAGAAAGCCACGGCUAACUACGUG
Molecule: ribosomal RNA, 498 nt
Filed under: uncultured bacterium
Lineage: Bacteria
Description: partial 16S ribosomal RNA
Rfam family: Bacterial small subunit ribosomal RNA
Source: RNAcentral